This 1494-nucleotide long non-coding RNA is filed under the name Salmo salar (Atlantic salmon). Its description in RNAcentral is "lncRNA (ENSSSAG00000107475.1)". Lineage: Eukaryota; Metazoa; Chordata; Actinopteri; Salmoniformes; Salmonidae. The record is from RNAcentral.
UAGACAGGGAGGGAGAAUUAGACAGGGAGGGAGAAUUAGACACAGGGAGAAUUAGACAGACACAGGGAGAAUAAGACAGGGGAAGGGACAUACAAUGACAGAUGCAUCACAACAACAACAUUCAACAGUGGGUGGGACUGACUUUUCAGAAGUGUAAUGUGGAUCUUCUAAAAGAGGUGCUUUUAUUGUUGUUGUGACAUUAUAUUAGUUAAUGUGAUAACUGUUGCUCAUCGAAUGAUUAACGGUUUAUAAUUGCAUGAUUCAUAUGACACCAAUCCCGUUUGCGGGAUUGAUUUUGACAAUAGCCAGUGAAAAAUCAGAGCGCCAAAUUCAAAACCACUAAUCUAAUAAUUUCAAUUUCUCAAACAUACGACUAUUUUACACCAUUUUAAAGAUACACUUCUCCUGAAUCGAACCACGUUGUCCGAUUUCAAAAAGGCUUUACAGUGAAAGCAAAACAUUAGAUUAUGUUAGGAGAGUACAUAUACAAAAAUAACCACACAGCCAUUUUCCAAGCAAGGACAUGUGUCACAAAAACCAGAAAACCAGCUAAAAUUAUGCACUAACCUUUGACGAUCUUCAUCAGAUGAUACUCCUAGGACAUCAUGUUACACUAUACAUGCAUUUUUUGUUCGAUCAAGUUGAUAUUUAUAUCCAAAAAUAGCAUUUUACAUUGGCGCGUGAUGUUCAGAAAAUAUUUUCCCUCCAAUACUACCGGUGAAUCAGCACAACAAUUUACAGAAAUACUCAUCAUAAACGUUGAUAAAAUAUUAAACUGUUAUUCAAAGAAUUAUAGAUGAACAUCUCCUUUAUGCAACCCCUGAGACAGAUUUCAAAAAAGCUUCACGGGGAAAGCACACUUUGCAAUAAUCUGAGUACAGCGCUCAGAAAAAAACAUCAAGCAAUACAGAUACCCGCCAUUUUGGAGUCAUAUAAAAUCAUAAAUAGCAUUAGAAAUAUUCACUUCCCUUUGAUGAUCUUCAUCAGAAGGCUCCUUUUUGUUAGCAUGUUCAGUAAGCUACUCCAAAUGUAGGAAGCGCGCGGAAAACUUCACGACGAAAAGUUAAAAAAAGUUAUAUUUACGUUCGUUGAAACAUGUCAAACGUUGUAAAGCAUCAAUCUUUAGGGCCAUUUUAACGUAAAACUUCAAUAAUAUUCCAACCGGACAAUUCCAAUGUCUUGAAAAACGUUUUGGAACUCAGCUACCUCCUCACGUGAACUCAUGUCAUUUUCUGGGUCACCAACUUCCCCACCUUCUUGUUCGCUCUCUGUUCACUACAAAAGGCUGAAACAAGGUUCUAAAGAUUGUUGACAUCUAGUGCAAGCCUUAGGAAGUGCUAAAUGAAACCUAAGUCACUGUGUGUUAGAUAGGCAAAGACUUGGAAAGAUUCCACACAUCAGAUUUCCACUUCCUGGUUGGAUUUUUCUCAGGAUUUGCCUGCCAUUUGAGUUAUGUUAUACUCACAGACAUCAUUCAAACAGUUUUAGAAACUU